GUGCUUGCUUUGGCAGCACAUAUACUAAAACUGGAAUGAUAUAGAGAAGAUUAGCAUGGACCCUGCACAAGGAUGUAAAUUCAUGAAGCAUUCUAUAUUAAAUUUUU
This is a small nuclear RNA of Jaculus jaculus (lesser Egyptian jerboa), 107 nucleotides long. NCBI's taxonomy places the organism in Eukaryota, Metazoa, Chordata, Mammalia, Rodentia, Dipodidae. The record is from RefSeq and is a predicted model, not a curated record.